AGCGAACGCUGGCGGCAGGCUUAACACAUGCAAGUCGAGCGGACAACCGUGGCUUGUCCGCGGCAGACGGGGGAGUAACGCGUGGGAACGUUCCCUUCGGUUCUGAAUGACGCGGGUAAAGUUGGGAUAAUAGCGGUUACGUGCGAUAGCAGAAAGGUGUAUCUGCCGGAGGAUCUGCCCGCGUCUGCUUCGAUAGUUGGUGAGGUUAUGGCUGACAAAGGCUAGGAUAAGUAGCUGGUCUGAGAGGAUGAUCAGACACUCUGGGACUGAGCAACGGUCCGGACUCUUAGGGGAUGCAGCAGUGGGGAAUAUUGGACAGUGGGGGCAACCAUGAUGCACCCAUGCCGCGUGAGUGAUGAAGGCCUUAGGGUUGUAAAGCACUUUUAUACGGGACUAUAAUGACGUUACCGGAGGAAUAAGCCCCGGCUAACUUCGUG
Molecule: ribosomal RNA, 437 nt
Filed under: uncultured bacterium
Lineage: Bacteria
Description: partial 16S ribosomal RNA
Rfam family: Bacterial small subunit ribosomal RNA
Source: RNAcentral